Molecule: non-coding RNA, 698 nt
Organism: Phascolarctos cinereus (koala)
Lineage: Eukaryota; Metazoa; Chordata; Mammalia; Diprotodontia; Phascolarctidae
Source: RefSeq, a predicted model, not a curated record
CUAGAUUCUUACCUACAUGUCCUACCCAUUGAGAAGGAAGGGUCUCUGCUCCAUUGGGAUACCAUAUUCUGUCUACCUUGGUACUGCAACCAGUAACUAUGGCCUCCGUUUCCUUGUGACUCCAAUGCUCCUCUCUACCCUGUAACUGAGAUCCUGGGAAUAGAUCACCUGCUCCCUUUCAACCUCACAUGUGAGAUGGUGAAUGGACUCCACUGAAUCCUCUGUGUUUUGUAGAGGCCAUAAAGACUGAUUAACCAUGACUCAGAUGAGGGAAAAAGAAUAUACUGCUGGUGCUACCUUAAAUUGAUGACCCGGUCAAUUAAUGUUAAAUUACAAUGUAGCUCAUGGAGAAAGACUUGUAAUGCUUAUUUCAUGUCAAAUAGAUUCAUCCUAAUUAAUGUUAUGACUGUGACUUUUGGGGGAAAUUAAUCAUUUCUUAUUUCAUCCUUUAUUUCAGGGGUGCUUGUAGCACAGAAAAUUUCCAUAUUUUUGACAAUUUUUCAUAAGGUAACAUGUAGAUAAACAUACUGAAAUGGUUCCUAGAGUAGUCCAUGAAUCCAGGUAGUUGUAGGGAAUCUAAUGCUUUUUUUUACUCUUUGUGAAAUAACUGGCUGUUUUGCAGAUCCAUUUCCUAUGUUACACAAACAAAGAAAAUCUUGGUUUGAUCCAGUCUUGAUUCUGGAGAACAUAUAAUAAAA